This 900-nucleotide ribosomal RNA is filed under the name uncultured archaeon. Its description in RNAcentral is "bacterial SSU rRNA". It matches the Rfam family "Archaeal small subunit ribosomal RNA", at positions 455 to 1354 of the family's 1478-position model. The record is from RNAcentral.
GUGCCAGCCGCCGCGGUAAAACCAGCACCUCAAGUGGUCAGGAGGAUUAUUGGGCCUAAAGCAUCCGUAGCCUGUUCUGUAAGUUUUCGGUUAAAUCCAUUAGCUCAACUAAUGGGCCGCCGAAAAUACUGCAGAACUAGGGAGUGGGAGAGGUAGACGGUACUCGGUAGGAAGGGGUAAAAUCCUUUGAUCUAUUGAUGACCACCUGUGGCGAAGGCGGUCUACCAGAACACGUUCGACGGUGAGGGAUGAAAGCUGGGGGAGCAAACCGGAUUAGAUACCCGGGUAGUCCCAGCUGUAAACGAUGCAGACUCGGUGAUGCGCUGGCUUGUGGCCAGUGCAGUGCCGCAGGGAAGCCGUUAAGUUUGCCGCCUGGGAAGUACGUACGCAAGUAUGAAACUUAAAGGAAUUGGCGGGGGAGCACCACAAGGGGUGAAGCCUGCGGUUCAAUUGGAGUCAACGCCAGAAAUCUUACCCGAAGAGACAGCAGAAUGAAGGUCAAGCUGGAGACUUUACCAGACAAGCUGAGAAGUGGUGCAUGGCCGUCGCCAGCUCGUGCCGUGAGAUGUCCUGUUAAGUCAGGUAACGAGCGAGAUCCCUGCCUCUAGUUGCCACCAUUACUCUCCGGAGUAGUGGGGCGAAUUAGCGGGACCGCCGCAGUUAAUGCGGAGGAAGGAAGGGGCCACGGCAGGUCAGUAUGCCCUGAAACUUUGGGGCCACACGCGGGCUGCAAUGGUAGCGACAAUGGGUUCCGAAUCCGAAAGGUGGAGGUAAUCCUCAAACGCUACCACAGUUAUGAUUGAGGGCUGCAACUCGUCCUCAUGAAUAUGGAAUCCCUAGUAACUGCGUGUCAUUAUCGCGCAGUGAAUACGUCCCUGCUCCUUGCACACACUGCCCGUC